GGAAAUAGAUAUGCACUUAUUAAAGCUAUUAUUAAAUAACAGUACAUUUAAAAUAACAUUAUUAAUGUCUCCUAUUUUGGAUUACAGUUUACAGAAUUAUAAUUAAUGUAUAUAUAAGACUAAUAUAUCCCAGUCUGUAAAAUGAUGUUUUUUUCCCUCUUCCUAUCCCCAUAAAUACACCCCUGUUUCUUCAUGAGCGAUCUCACACCCGCUGAGGUGGAGUGAGCUCUGAACUUUUAACGUCGCCAGAACUACAGAGAAGAGACUUCUGG
Molecule: non-coding RNA, 272 nt
Organism: Pelobates cultripes (western spadefoot toad)
Lineage: Eukaryota; Metazoa; Chordata; Amphibia; Anura; Pelobatidae
Source: the annotation of a GenBank genome assembly